GAUGAACGCUGGCGGCGUGCCUAAUACAUGCAAGUCGAGCGAACAGACGAGGAGCUUGCUCCUUUGACGUUAGCGGCGGACGGGUGAGUAACACGUAGGUAACCUACCUAUAAGACUGGGAUAACUUCGGGAAACCGGAGCUACUACCGGAUAAUAUUUCGAACCGCAUGGUUCGAUAGUGAAAGAUGGCUUUGCUAUCACUUUUAGAUGGACCUGCGUCGUAUUAGCUAGUUGGUAAGGUAACGGCUUACCAAGGCAACGAUACGUAGCCGACCUGAGAGGGUGAUCAGCCACACUGGAACUGAGACACGGUCCAGACUCCUACGGGAGGCAGCAGUAGGGAAUCUUCCGCAAUGGGCGAAAGCCUGACGGAGCAACGCCGCGUGAGUGAUGAAGGUCUUCGGAUCGUAAAACUCUGUUAUUAGGGAAGAACAAACGUGGAAGUAACUGUGCACGUCUUGACGGUACCUAAUCAGAAAGCCACGGCUAACUACGUG
RNAcentral lists this ribosomal RNA (497 nucleotides) under uncultured bacterium. RNAcentral's name for it is "partial 16S ribosomal RNA". It matches the Rfam family "Bacterial small subunit ribosomal RNA", at positions 28 to 507 of the family's 1533-position model. The record is from RNAcentral.